Molecule: long non-coding RNA, 1826 nt
Filed under: Salvator merianae (Argentine black and white tegu)
Lineage: Eukaryota; Metazoa; Chordata; Lepidosauria; Squamata; Teiidae
Description: lncRNA (ENSSMRG00000016277.1)
Source: RNAcentral
GUGGUUGUGUGUACUUUUCCGCAGUCACAAAAUGUAAUAGUGAUUUAUCUAAAGUUCCUUAGGAUCGUGCUAUACCCGUUUGCAACCAAUGAUUUCCAAACUUCCCUGCUGGCAUUAGAGGCUGCUGCCAAGCCCUCAGAUGCAUCCACCCAAUGGGAGUCUUUCAUGCUCUCCCCAGCCUCGCAGAUCGAAACUAGAUCUAGUUUAGUCUAAGUGUAGCUCCAGCGAUUACUNAUCUCUCCUGGUUUUAACUGAUAAUAUGAGACAGCAGUCUAAACAUGAAGCCAGCCAGGCUACCCGGGAGUCGCAGCCGCCAGCAUACUUCUGCCCUAGCAAUGCAUCAGCGCCUGGAACCCAAAGCAGGGCGGAGACAGCAGAUGAACGCUGCUGCCUGCAGCAGAGCUUUGUUAGCAUGCAGGGUAUUUGGUUGGUAUUGGCGUCUUUUUUUCCCCCUCUCUCCUCCUCCCUCUGCCCCGGAACAGCCUGCCCCGCUCACAGGGAGAGAGCCUGUCUGUGUGCCGCCGCCCCACUCAGAGCCCGCCCCUUUUUUCUUCGCCCUGGCCUUCCGUGUGGAACAAGCCGGGCACGUGCGCUGCGACGCUGGCUUUCCUGCCUGCCUGCCAGGGGCGAGGCUGCUGCUACCUUUCUCGGCCACAGCCGCUUGCCUGCUCCGUUUCUCUCGGCGAGCGCGGGCGGUUUUUAUUUUCUAUUUUUUGCCUGCUCGAAUAGAGAACCUGAAGUUGCUACAGAAGCACUUUGUAUCAAGAUUGCAGGUAGGCUGAUUUUUUUUUCCCGGGAACUAGACAGAUGGACAUUCCUCAUAUAGAAGGAUGUAACAAGUGAGACCUCCAAGGUCCUGUACCCUUUCCCCUUUAAUUGUACCUAAUUGAUUACUGAAAGUUAACCAUGUAGCAAAAAUCUGUAUAACAAAUCUUUACUUUUUAACAUAUUCAACAAAUGAGUGGUAUCAAGAAUCAGCAGGGAAAUGAGUUUGCUGAGGAUAGCAAAUUAGGUAGCUAACACCAUUUCUUAUGGUAAAUACUUCCUUUUGUCUGUUGUGGUUCUUCAGCGCUUCAGCUACAGUGGAUGUCCCUGGCUCUGAUAUUUUGGGAAAGAAAUGUCUCCCUGUCCACACUAUACAUAAUUUAAUUCACCUCUGUCAUAUCUCCUCUCACUUGCAUCUUUCCAAACUAAAAGCCUCAAAUAUUUCAACCUUUCCUUGUAGAAAAGCUUCUUUAGUCUCUUGGUCAUUUUAUUGGCCUUUUCUGUUUCUUCAGAAUCCCUUGUAUUUCUGCUGCUCCACAUAAUUUGGUGCAGUAAAUUAUAUAACCAGGAAUAGUAAAAUGAGUGCAGAAGAAAAAGACAAGCAAAACUCAAUCCUGAUUCAUAUACAACCUAUAAUUACAUAGAUUGAAAAUGCUACAUAUGAAAACUUUAUGUCAGGAAGACAUCCAAUGUUGCUAUUGUUCUGAUAGGCUCUCUGUCCUCUUUUCUGUAUCGUGUCAAGCUAACUGUUGUAUGCUUCAUAAUACUGCUGUUCUUAUUGAAAGAUCCGUAUAAGUUCUACUCUUAUAGGGGAACAGUGUUUUAGUUGUUCGUCUAGAUUGUCUGAAAAAACCCUGUGGUCUCAGUCUGGUCAAUAAGAGAGGAAGAUUAAGGCUGUAGUUGCACAUCAGUAGACUGGUCCAUGGUCUGGUCUAUGGACCUCUCCUCUGCACCUGGUGCAGUUUAAAGGUGACCUCACUUCCCUCUUAGUACUCCCUGGCUCUUUCUGCACUUGGCCUUAUUGUGGAUUAUAUCUCAGAAUAGGGACCUGCCAUCUGCAU